Molecule: long non-coding RNA, 288 nt
Organism: Empidonax traillii (willow flycatcher)
Lineage: Eukaryota; Metazoa; Chordata; Aves; Passeriformes; Tyrannidae
Exons: 3
Source: RefSeq, a predicted model, not a curated record
AAUGGUGAUAAAGAGAAUUUCAAGGGCUCUGUUCCCCAGAGAGUAAAAGCCUCUGGAAUUUCUUCAGGACUCCAGUAUUUUGGACAAUCCAUUGGUGAUGGUGGCUUUGAUUUCCCUAAUGAUGGUGUCCAAGACAGGGCAGCAGGAUCUCUGGAGAACGUGACUGUGCUCUGCCAUGUGAGUUCCACUGUUUUUCCAGGGUUUUUCUGAGAGUUAAACACGAGAAAAAUGAUAACAUGGAGUGUCCUGUUCCUGUGCUGGGCAGAGAGCACCCAUUAGAAAAUGCAU